GAGCGCGCGACGACGCCUUGCACGCUUGUGCGCGGAGCCUCAGCUACUCGCCACACAUACAUCCAGCGCAUAAGACUACAUCUUGGAAUCCAUAAAUAUAUAGACAGGGGAAAGAGUUGGCGGCGUCCAUGGCGUCUCCGUCUUCCGUGCCGUCCUCGUCUCGGGUCAUUCCGCAUGAGCGAGUGCUGCAGUGUGUGUACGAGUUCCUGGACGAGAACGGCUACCAGCAAGCCCUGCGUGCACUGCAAGCGGAGUCGAAGGUACCGUAUAACGUCAUCCGUGUGAAGUCUGAUGGAGCCGGCGGCUCAGCUGGUGCUGCCCAGGCAUCUCUCUCGGGGAAGCGAAAUAGCGCGAAGGGGUUUGCGGCGGCAUCGGAGCGCAACUUGGAAGAGGCAGUGAUGGAGGGCAGCUGGGCGGAAGUGCUGCACGUGUACGUGGACGGGCUCCUGCUUCCGGAGGAGAUCAAGGCAACGCUGUACGAGGUUAUUCUCGAAGAGAUGGUGGAACUUCACGGUCUCGCACCGGCAGCCCGCUCGCUGCUGCUGAACGCGCCGGUCUUCCAGCUCAUGAAGGCGGACACUCCAGCGCGCUACAUCCGCCUCGAAAAGAUGGUUGAACACGGGCAGCGCACCAUGAGCGAGUGCACCCUCAGCAACGCAGCCACUCGCCAUGUCACGCCGGAAAUGCUUCACAGGAGAACAGCUCUGCUUCAGCAGCUGAAAACAGCGAUCCGCUUCACGUCGGAGGCCCCGAUCGGACGUUUGGCGGCUGCCCUGGCCCGCGCUGCCGCUGCUGACUUCGGCGGGGCGGACAGCCGUGAACGCAAGGCCGACUCCUCGUCUGCAGUGCCCCUUCCGAACGGCGGGCCAAGGCUGUCGGCUGAGGUCACGAGCGUGGCAGCGAGAUCGCGCAAACGCGAUCGGGAGCGGACGCUGCCUGGCGACGCCGCGUGGGCCGAUACCUUUCUUCAGUACCCUCUUGCAGCGCCGAAGGAAAUACGGCGGCGGUUGCCGUACGCGGGCGACCGCGCCGCGUGCUGCUGUGCCCCACUGUUGAGUGCGAGCGAGGAGCUGCUCAUCGUUGGCUGUGCCAACGGCGCAGUCGAGUUCGUUAGCGUGAAGGCAGGCGAGAGCAUUGGUAACCCGCUGCGGCACUCGGAUGGGGUGCUGUGCAUGACGCGAGACACCACGGACAGGGCGGCGCCGUCGCCAGACUGGCUCGCCGUCGGCUAUCGCGAUGGGUGGGUGAAGGUGUACAACAUUGACAGUCGCAAACUGGUGCGCCGCUUCGAGAAGGCGCAUACAAUGGGCAUCACGGCGGUCUUUUUUUCCGGCCCGCGAAACGCGGCAUCCCUGUUCGGCCACCGCUCCUUCAUUGUAACAGGCUCCUUCGAUGGCGGGGUUAAGGUGCUCGACAUCGCGACUGGGGCCGUGGUGCAGACGGUUGCUAACUGCCAUGCCAGCGCGUUUGUGCAUGCACUGGUUCCACUGGAGUGCCGAGGCACUGUCGUCGACACGCUGCGGUAUUGCUUCCUUAGCAGCGGCAAUGACGGGACUGUGUCUGUAUGGCGCCUGGAAGACAGGCGGGAGGAAGGGGCUGAGGUCGCCAGUAGGGUGGAAGUGCUGCGCGUGCAGGGGGCCGUUCCCCUUGGGCGGAUUCACCACGAACUGCGCGACGCCGUCCCUUCCCAGCUCUAUACACUCCCAUAUGUCGAGGAUGCGGCGCAUGGCGCAACUGCAACGAGCGACUCCACUAGUAUCCCCGCAACGACGACGCAAGACGCGCUUGUGCUCACUCGCGCCGGCAAGGCAUGUGUCGUCCGCGUCACCGUAACGGACGACGGCAACCGCUACUUCUGCGCCUCUCUUCAAGCGCUGUGCAUCAUCGCGACUGCACAGCCGCUGCGCUCUGCGUUUCCGCACGUGCACACGGUCGUCUCCAUGUCCGUCCCACUGCUCACCCUUUACGCCGCCGACUGCGAAGGCACCGUCAGUCUGCACAACAUCGAGAUGAAGUGGUACAACGACGAGCAGUGGUCUGAGUUUGGCGGUUGCAUGCGAGUAAGCAGCGCGGCUGACCAAAGCGCCGUGGUGAUUGUGGAGGCGGGGAAGUCCCUAAAAGACCUGCAGCUGACGUGCAUCUGGUCGUCGACACAGCACCAGCCGUCGAGUGUGGUAGCCUACAGCGCGUCUCUGCCAGCCAUCUACGACAUGCACUAGUGCGCGAAGUUGAGAACAGGCUGAGAUGAUGAUAGGGAAGGGGGAAGGAAAGGCGUGGGGCGCAUCCCCGCACGAGAGACACCAGAUGCGGCGGUCCGCCCCAGGCCCUCCCUCCCAACAAGGGGGAUGGCAGGCGCUCCUGGUGAUGCGUCACUGCAGAGAGGAGAGGGCGGACGAGAAAUGCGUCUCCAGGGCUACCGCUGCGCAGCUAAUGGUCGAUCUUGUUUUUGCAUCCCUAUGGGACUGACUCCUUUCACCGCUGAAUGGCCUUUGCUGUGUGGUGAUGCUGUGGAAUUGCUGACUGCGGCCACGCUGCCGGCUCGCGGAUGGUGGCAACCGUACUGAGGCACAACACGAAAAACAAAGCUGAGGCGCCACACGCACACACAGCACGUGUGUAAGAGAGGGAACGAAAACGCGGCUCUGUGCGUGUGCCGCGCGUGCUUGGGUGUGGUGUGCACAGUUGCUGCACUCUGUGUACGCUGUCUCCACUAUCUUUCCUCUAUGCACAG
RNAcentral lists this unclassified non-coding RNA (2731 nucleotides) under Leishmania donovani. RNAcentral's name for it is "gene:LdHU3.27.0750(CDS-product:WD_domain_G-beta_r epeat_putative)". The record is from RNAcentral. Lineage: Eukaryota; Euglenozoa; Kinetoplastea; Trypanosomatida; Trypanosomatidae.